AAAAGAUCCGACCUCAGAUCAGACGAGACAACCCGCUGAAUUUAAGCAUAUUACUAAGCGGAGGAAAAGAAACUAACCAGGAUUCCCUCAGUAGCGGCGAGCGAAGAGGAAAGAGCCCAGCGCCGAAUCCCCGUCCGAUGGCGGGCGUGGGAAUUGGCGUACGGAAGACCGCUGCCGGUGUCGUCGGGGGCCUGAGUCCUUCUGAUCGAGGCUCCCGUGGAGGUGUGAGCCGGUAGCCCCCGCCGCGCCGGGUCCGGUCUUCUCGAGUCGGGUUGUUUGGGAAUGCGCCCAAAGCGGGUGGUAAACUCCAUCUAGGCUAAUCCGGCACAGACCGAUUCGACAGUACCUUAAGGGAAA
Molecule: ribosomal RNA, 357 nt
Filed under: Limanda limanda (common dab)
Lineage: Eukaryota; Metazoa; Chordata; Actinopteri; Pleuronectiformes; Pleuronectidae
Description: eukaryotic LSU rRNA
Rfam family: Eukaryotic large subunit ribosomal RNA
Source: RNAcentral